UUAGGUUAAGUUAUGAAGGGCGCACGGUGGAUGCCUUGGCACUAGGAGCCGAUGAAGGACGGUACUAACACCGAUAUGCUUCGGGGAGCUGUAAGUAAGCAUUGAUCCGAAGAUUUCCGAAUGGGGAAACCCACUGCUCGUAAUGGGGCAGUAUCCUUACCUGAAUACAUAGGGUAAGAGAAGGUAGACCCGGGGAACUGAAACAUCUUAGUACCCGGAGGAAGAGAAAGCAAACGCGAUUUCCUGAGUAGCGGCGAGCGAAACGGAAGAUAGCCCAAACCAAGAGGCUUGCCUCUUGGGGUUGUAGGACACUCUAUACGGAGUUACAAAAGAGCGAAGUAGACGAAGCGACCUGGAAAGGUCCGUCAGAGAAGGUAACAACCCUGUAGUCGAAACUUCGUUCUCUCUUGAGUGGAUCCUGAGUACGGCGGGACACGUGAAAUCCCGUCGGAAGCUGGGAGGACCAUCUCCCAAGGCUAAAUACUCCCUAGUGACCGAUAGUGAACCAGUACCGU
This 515-nucleotide ribosomal RNA is filed under the name Shigella sonnei. RNAcentral describes it as "partial 23S ribosomal RNA". It matches the Rfam family "Bacterial large subunit ribosomal RNA", at positions 1 to 504 of the family's 2925-position model. The record is from RNAcentral. Lineage: Bacteria; Pseudomonadati; Pseudomonadota; Gammaproteobacteria; Enterobacterales; Enterobacteriaceae.